UAAGCAUAUCAAUAAGCGGAGGAAAAGAAACCAACAGGGAUUGCUCUAGUAACGGCGAGUGAAGCAGCAAUAGCUCAAAUUUGAAAUCUGGCGUCUUCGACGUCCGAGUUGUAAUUUGUAGAGGAUGCUUCUGAGUAACCACCGACCUAAGUUCCUUGGAACAGGACGUCAUAGAGGGUGAGAAUCCCGUAUGCGGUCGGAAAGGUGCUCUACACGUAGCUCCUUCGACGAGUCGAGUUGUUUGGGAAUGCAGCUCUAAAUGGGAGGUAAAUUUCUUCUAAAGCUAAAUAUUGGCCAGAGACCGAUAGCGCACAAGUAGAGUGAUCGAAAGAUGAAAAGCACUUUGGAAAGAGAGUUAAAAAGCACGUGAAAUUGUUAAAAGGGAAGGGAUUGCAACCAGACUUGCUCGCGGUGUUCCGCCGGUCUUCUGACCGGUCUACUCGCCGCGUUGCAGGCCAGCAUCGUCUGGUGCCGCUGGAUAAGACUUGAGGAAUGUAGCUCCCUCGGGAGUGUUAUAGCCUCUUGUGAUGCAGCGAGCGCCGGGCGAGGUCCGCGCUUCGGCUAGGAUGCUGGCGUAAUGGUCGUAAUCCGCCCGUCUUGAAACACGGACCAAGGAGUCUAACAUCUAUGCGAGUGUUCGGGUGUCAAACCCCUACGCGUAAUGAAAGUGAACGGAGGUGAGAACCGCAAGGUGCAUCAUCGACCGAUCCUGAUGUCUUCGGAUGGAUUUGAGUAAGAGCAUAGCUGUUGGGACCCGAAAGAUGGUGAACUAUGCCUGAAUAGGGUGAAGCCAGAGGAAACUCUGGUGGAGGCUCGCAGCGGUUCUGACGUGCAAAUCGAUCGUCAAAUUUGGGUAUAGGGGCGAAAGACUAAUCGAACC
RNAcentral lists this ribosomal RNA (880 nucleotides) under Cladosporium asperulatum. Its description in RNAcentral is "partial large subunit ribosomal RNA". It matches the Rfam family "Eukaryotic large subunit ribosomal RNA", at positions 35 to 941 of the family's 3401-position model. The record is from RNAcentral. Lineage: Eukaryota; Fungi; Ascomycota; Dothideomycetes; Cladosporiales; Cladosporiaceae.